AUGGAUGAGGUCACAAGGGGUAUACAAGGAGAUAUCCCAUGGUGUAUGCUCUUUGCGGAUGAUGUGGUGCUAGUUGACGAUAGUCGGACGGGGGUAAAUAGGAAGUUAGAGUUAUGGAGACAAACCUUGGAAUCGAAAGGGUUUAGGCUUAGUAGAACUAAAACCGAGUACAUGAUGUGCGGUUUCAGUACUACUAGCUGUGAGGAGGAGGAGGUUAGCCUUGAUGGCCAGGUGGUACCUCGGAAGGACACCUUUCGGUAUUUGGGGUCAAUGUUGCAGGAGGAUGGGGGUAUUGAUGAAGAUGUGAACCAUCGAAUCAAAGACGGAUGGAUGAAGUGGCGCCAAGCUUCUGGCAUUCUCUGUGACAAGAGAGUGCCACAAAAGCUAAAAGGCAAGUUCUACAGGACGGCGGUUCGACCCGCAAUGUUGUAUGGCGCGGAGUGUUGGCCGACUAAAAGGCGACAUGUUCAACAGUUAGGUGUGGCGGAGAUGCGUAUGUUGAGAUGGAUGUGUGGCCACACGAGGAAGGAUCGAGUCCGGAAUGAUGAUAUACGAGAUAGAGUUGGGGUAGCACCAAUUGAGGAGAAGCUUGUCCAACAUCGUUUGAGAUGGUUUGGGCAUAUUUAG
This 627-nucleotide ribosomal RNA is filed under the name Triticum aestivum (bread wheat). RNAcentral describes it as "partial small subunit ribosomal RNA". The record is from RNAcentral. Lineage: Eukaryota; Viridiplantae; Streptophyta; Magnoliopsida; Poales; Poaceae.